This is a long non-coding RNA of Amphiprion ocellaris (clown anemonefish), 2020 nucleotides long. RefSeq lists it as uncharacterized. The record is from RefSeq and is a predicted model, not a curated record. Lineage: Eukaryota; Metazoa; Chordata; Actinopteri; Pomacentridae. The transcript has 6 exons.
AAUGUGGUUUAGCUAGCGCGAGUUUUUUUGCGCCUCCCAAAAUUCCCUGUGCAGGUUGCUACGGAAGCUCCUGUAGACCAAAAAGUCUGCUGCGCCAUCAAGCCGGUCCGAAUGGAGACAGUGUGGUACUCUUCAGACGAUCUGGCGAGUUUGCUCCGAAGUGCGACUGUGAGGAGACACCAGCUCGAAAAUGCGACUCACCUUUUGUUCUGCGGUUUCCAGGAAAAAUGCUCUGAGUCACAGCCGUGACGUGCUGAAGCAGCCGAGGGGGAGGCGUACAUACUCCUGUUGGCAGUUGAAGAGAACCAGGGGGAGGAAAUGAAAGGUUCCAGCCCGACCCCCACCUUCACCUCUCCCCAGGCCUUACUGCCACAUCCACUGCACAUCCUCUGCUCCCUUCCGGGCCCCAAGCUCUGGAGCCUCACAAAGGAGCCCUAACAAGAGAGAAGAAAGAGCCAGUGCCACUUGGACGGGAUUACAUCCUAGUUACCAGGGGGACAAGCGCUGCCUCAUCUAAUAUAUGAUUGGCUGACUGAAAAGGGACGCUGACAGAUGCAGCUGAAGUACUGAAACAGGAGGAUCUCUGGAGUGUGUGGUCUGGUGGGUUGAGAACCUUAGUCGGAAAGAACCGUCUACCUCUUCAGGCAUGAGCCCAGAAGUGGACAGUUUUUAAUCACCACUUCGUACCGGGUAGCUCCACUGAAGCACUUGGGGGUGCAGUGUCUUGCUAAAGGGCUCCGGUAGCUGUGAUUCAGUGUAUGGUGGUGAGGUGACCGGUGGACAGUUGAACGGUACCUGGGACCAGGUCUGUCUGUCUGCUCUGCAAUCUGUGACUGCCUGUAAUCAGCUUCUUUAAAGGUUCCAGCCAGUAAUUGCUCAGUAUAGCCCCAAGAUAGCAAUCAAAGAGAAGGAGAAAAGAAUGCCAUGCUCUCCUUCUCUCUGUCUCUCUUUCCUUUUGUUUCUAUCAUUCUUUUUCUCCCCCUUUUCCCUCCCAAUCUGAAUCAUUUUCUGCUGCUUUGCGCUGUAAAGCAUCUUAGCAUCUGCUUUUUAGUAUUUGAGGGAGGAAAAUCAAUUAAAAUUGAACUAAUGACAAAAUUGAUAUUGCUUUGAAGAAUGCCCCUCCACCCCUCCCCUCCUCUCCCACUACCUCACCCCUCUCUCCCGUCUCUGUCCUGGUUGCAUUUUUCCUCAGUUCUCUGUUCUCUUAUCUUUCAACAAUUACAAGAGCAGUCUAAUGGCCCUUUUAAGUUGCCUGCCAGCUGUAUUUGCAAAAAAAUAAUGUCUUCUUCUUCAUCUGUGUGCAAGUGUAGCUGUGUUGAGGUUCAUUCUCAUGUAAGGAUUGCUGAUGCCUUUCCUCUGAAGUCAUGAUGAGGGCAUUAGAGCUGUUUGUCUGGGCACGAGAUGUGAGCGUAUUCAUGACUAGAUCUCAUGAUGGUAUGUCAAAUCUGUCAACCAUCAUAAGGUACCAGGCAGCGUUUGAUGUGGUAUAAAUUCCUGGUAUCCAAAGCUGUUAAUUCAGCACUGAAUAGCAAACCCAAACCCUUUAGCUGAUUAGCCAAUAAGAUGAUUGUUGGAAAACAAUUUGUCAAGUAAAUUGCACAUUUACUGCUUGUAGUUUUGUGGAUAUUACUGUUGCUCAUCAUCUUCAAAUACAAACACUGGGAUUCUUUUGGGCUGCUGGCGACAUGAUUUCAAGACAUUUCUGGUAAUUUAUGGAAUUAUUUUUGACAAUGUAUAGAUUAAAUGAUAAAUUAGGCCAAAUUGAAUGUAGGUUUUAUAAUUACGAAUGUGUAUUUGUGUUUUUAGGCUGUAAUGCACAGUUAAUAUUCCUUGCUGUGCACAGAUAACAUUCAGGCUAUAUAACUCUGCCAGUUCCCACAAAAUCUAUGUAGUACUGUGUGAUUUGUUUAGACUGUGAUUUCUCCCUUUUGUGUACUUAUAUAUAUUUGCAAAAUGUCCCACACAUUUUAUGUGUAUGCUUUAUGUGCACUGUUGCUAUAAACAGUAUGGUGUCACCGGA